Molecule: long non-coding RNA, 287 nt
Organism: Ostrinia nubilalis (European corn borer)
Lineage: Eukaryota; Metazoa; Arthropoda; Insecta; Lepidoptera; Crambidae
Exons: 3
Source: RefSeq, a predicted model, not a curated record
CGCGGGUCGUCCGCGCCCGUUUUCCCCCCAAAAUUCGCGAACUCCACGAAAACUAAGUGCAAUAAUCGAAAACAUUCGAAUUUCAAAGUGUUAUUUUUUCGAAUUUGCGACGCCGACGUCCAUUUCGGCCAGUGUGUUUUGUUCGAAAAUAAUUUUUGGUGAUCUGUGUUUUGGACAUCCGCAGUUUUCAACUUACGUACUUGAAUCGAGGUGCGUGUCUUCAUUGCUGUGUGGAAAAGGAUUCAUCCAACAAAGAUCGUAGCGGCAGGCUCCGGUGAAGCCGGUAA